This 6730-nucleotide long non-coding RNA is filed under the name Brassica napus (rape). RNAcentral describes it as "long non-coding RNA (BNAP_LNC000689)". Lineage: Eukaryota; Viridiplantae; Streptophyta; Magnoliopsida; Brassicales; Brassicaceae. The record is from RNAcentral.
UAAACCCAUCAUCAACCAAACUCACAAACAAGAACAAGAAGAACAAGGAUUCUGCUUUGGAUAUAUUACACAGAGACAUAUAGAGAGAGAGGUGUCUUGAUCUUGAAAAAAAAUGGCUUACGAGAAAGUCAAUGAGCUUAACCUUAAGGACACAGAGCUUCGUCUUGGAUUACCCGGAACGGAGCAAGAUAAGGAAGAACAAGAGGUUUCUUGCGUUAGAAGCAACAAGCGUCAACUACAGAGCGAUAACGAGGAAGAAUCUACACUUCCUACGAAGUAAGUGAAGAUUUGAGUUUCAAUCUAUUGUUUAAAAUUAUCUAUGAAUUAUUGUACUGAAUCAUCAUUUUUUUAAUCUCCUUUCUUUGGUCCUUUAUAAUAAUAGUAUAUCCUUUGUAAAAGAAGUGUAAAGACAUCGACGGCAAAGAGGUAGCGUAAGCAAAGUUGGCGGAGGCAAAUAAGGAGCGUGGAAUAAAGAAAGAGUCGAGUCCACAUGGGCGGCCAUAGCGUUUGUGUCCCACCUUUGUCCCCUUGCCUCUUUCUUGCCUUUCAUGCUCCCGACAACAUCUCUCUCUCUUCCUUUAACCCUAACUUCUAUGCAUCUUCUCCCUCCUGUAUAUAUCUCUCUUUCUCUAAACCCAUCAUCAACCAAACUCACAAACAAGAACAAGAAGAACAAGGAUUCUGCUUUGGAUAUAUUACACAGAGACAUAUAGAGAGAGAGGUGUCUUGAUCUUGAAAAAAAAUGGCUUACGAGAAAGUCAAUGAGCUUAACCUUAAGGACACAGAGCUUCGUCUUGGAUUACCCGGAACGGAGCAAGAUAAGGAAGAACAAGAGGUUUCUUGCGUUAGAAGCAACAAGCGUCAACUACAGAGCGAUAACGAGGAAGAAUCUACACUUCCUACGAAGUAAGUGAAGAUUUGAGUUUCAAUCUAUUGUUUAAAAUUAUCUAUGAAUUAUUGUACUGAUGAUGAUUCUUUGCUAAUUUACAGAACUCAAAUCGUUGGUUGGCCUCCGGUGAGAUCUUACCGUAAAAACAACAACAGUGUGAGCUAUGUGAAAGUGAGUAUGGAUGGAGCUCCAUACCUUAGGAAAAUAGAUCUCAAGACAUACAAAAACUAUCCAGAGCUUCUCAAGGCAUUAGAGAACCUGUUCAAGUUCACGAUCGGUGAAUACAGCGAAAGAGAAGGAUACAAAGGAUCUGGAGUUGUACCAACGUACGAGGAUAAAGAUGGAGAUUGGAUGUUGGUUGGUGAUGUUCCAUGGGAUAUGUUCUCUUCCUCUUGUAAGAGACUCAGGAUCAUGAAAGGAUCUGAUGCUCUUGCUUUGGACUCGGCCUUAUGAUGAUGAUGAUGAUGAUGAUGAAAGCUUUUGAUGGAUGAAACCCUUUUUGAUUUGAUUCUGAUCGGAGUUUGAGUAGUUGACCACACCAAAAACAGAACAUGUCAGGGUUUUGUUCGAUGAGAUAGAUCCAUCUUCAAGGGGUUUUCUUUUUGUUUUGUUUGAUCCUUGUUUUUAGAUUUGCAGCUUGUUGUAAAGAUAGAUGAAAUUUUUGUACAAUACGGACAUAUACACAAUAUAGAUGCGUAUGUAGCAAUGUUUUGACGAAAAGAGUCUUUAAUUUCAUAGUGAUAUCUACAAUAAUUUACAAUAAAGAACCUCAUAGUAUUCUUUAGGAGAGGGCAAAAUAAGGGUUUGGAUUCGAUCAGGAAAUUUUGGAUAUUUGUAACUCCAACAAAAAAAAAUACUUACAUUUAAUUAUAGUUAAAAACUGAAAAAAUUAUAAUUACUAAAAUUUUAGAAGAUAUAUGUGUUUAUUAUAUUUAUAUGAAAGUUUGAUAUAUUUUCGCUAAAUUAUUUAUUUAUUUAUUUAUUAAAAAGUAAAAUUAAAUUACAUUUUAUUUCGUAAUGAACAUUAUUAUAAUAUGUCAAAUUUCGAAUUUUUUAAUAAAAAAUAUUUUUACAUUUAAAAAAGAUUAAUCAAGAAACAGGCCUGAUAAGAGUUUCCAAAGCCCAAUUGACUUGAGUCCAUUGAUUUUGGUUAUGUGCUAUGACGGGGCGAAUCUAGCCCAUUUAAAUUAUGGGUGCACUAUUGAUAGAAAAACAUAAAAAUACAUUAGACAAGGAUCGAACCUAAGAAACUGAGGGUGCACAUACUUCUUUUUACCAUAUAAGCUAACCAAAUUUUGAUGUUUCUACGUGUAAAAUACUAAAUUUUAAAAUAAUUGUGGGUGCACAUGUCCCCUCAUCCUUUAACUUGGCUUCGCCAGGUGUUUCCACCUUCGAUGAUCAGAUAAGUGGAGAAGGUGAAAUCUACAUAAAGCUUGAAUGAAUUGGUACAUUUGAUAUAGCAACGAAAUUAUACAUAGUAUUAAUUUAAUUUAUUUUACUUCGUAAGUCAAGCUAGGCAAGAUUGUUUUGCGUGAAAUUUCGACAGGAAGACACUUGUUUCCAGUUAAUUGGGAAAUAAUUAAUAACUAGAAUAAGACAUGCGCUAGUGCGCAUAAUGAUUUUGUUUGUAUAUAUUAUCGAUAAUUCUUUUUAUAUAUUUGUUUAUUUUGUUAAUGCAUAUACAAUAUUUUUUGCUAAUAUUAUAUAAUUUCUUUCUGAUAGAUCGGAUUAAUUUUUAUUAAAAGUUGUGGAACUAAAUUAUAAUUAAUAUAUCAUAGGUUGAUUGGAUUUAAACAAAUUGUGACACAAAAACCUUAUUUUUUUCACCGGACACAUUAUUGAAAAAAAUGAAUAGUAAUGUUUCCACAGUUGAAUUGUUUUGACAUUGAUCUUCCAUAUGGUUUUGACAUGUUUCAGAUCAACAAUCAAAUUAAUACAUGUCAUUUUAAUGAUUUUAGUCGUAUGGUUAAGUAAAACUUACAUUUUUGUAAUUUAAAUUUGUUUUAAAAAAAUUCAGAAUAUAACAUAUAAGAAAAAAUCUAACAUAUAAGAAAAAAUCUAACAUAUAAGAAAAAUAUAACAUAUAAGAUUUCCUCAUUUUUGUAAAUUAAAGUCGUUUUAAACAAAAAUUAAAUUAUAACAUAUAAGGUUUCCUCAUUUUUGUAAUUUAAAGUCAUUUUAAAAAUUUUAAAAUAUAACAUAUAAGUAAAAAAACUAGUUUUUUAAUUAUAUGGUUAAUGUGAUUAUUUUAAUUUUUUUAAUAAUAUAAAAUUUAAAAAAAAAUGAAGAAUGAUGCAAAAAUUGUUAUAAAUUUUUUAUUAUUCAUAGUCAUUAACUGUCAUAUAUAUGUUAAUACUAUUAGGUAAUUUCGUAGUUUUUAUUUAAAGAAAUAAUACAUGUUUCUUAUAUUUUGAGUUAAUAUAAUGUUUCUUAAUAACUGGAUUUGAACCAACAUUUUUUCAAUUAAUUCUUAAGCUGUCAUGUAAACUAAAUUGUCAUCCUAAUUAAGUGAUACCUAAACAGUGUCUCUUUUUAAUUAGUACAAACUUAAUGUUAUAAUUUUUUUAAUAGUCCUCAAUUAAUAUAUAGGGAUUCAUAUAAUCAUAUUUAACAUGUUUAAUGAGGGGUCGUACAUAUUUAUAAUAUAUUUUUUUUUUUAUUGCUAUCUUAGCUUAACUGGUCAUGCAUGUUUCGUAUGUUUUUGAUACUGCUAGUACAUUCAAGUCUAGUUUUGUAUAAUCUAAGUCUGUAAUCUAAUUUUCAACAGUGGUGAUAUAUAUAUUAAUGGGAAAAUUAGGGCACGAAUAAUUAAGAAUUGCAAUUCUAUACUAAGAAAAAUGAGUUGAAAACAUGUUUUGAAAGUUUAAUCCUGCGAGUUAAAACAUUUUGAGGCACCUUUUUCUUAAUAUUUGCAAAUCUAAUGUCUUAACUUUUUAUCAUAUUCAUUACUGCAUUUUGCCGCGUGCCAAUUAACAUAAGUGCACGCUACUACAAUCGAAUGGUAUAUCGAUGCAGUAUUGUAUGAUUGAAUCCAUAAAAAACUAGUGGUAUAUAACAAUAAGAAUACACAAACUUUUCUAAUCUAAGCAAAUAAGAAGAUGGAUGAUUUGUAACAAUCUAAGUAAUGACAGUAGUGAUCAUGGGCCUUUGGAGAAAGUGAAAGAGCAGUCUCAAGCCCACACGGUCACCACCAAAGUUCAGCCUAAUCCUCCUCUGUCGUCUAGUGUCAAACAGAAAGCAUUCAAGGUUCAAUCUUCUUGCUCCAGUACGACGAGGCCAGCUAAUGGCAUAACGGUUGGAAAUAGAUUUGAGUGUCUUGGUACACAGCCUGUCAUGUGCUGAGUCAGAGUAGAGGAUAAGAUCUUAUGUCUCUAUAUAAUGUAAAACGUGAACAUGUAAUCAGCAAGCAAGAAAGUAAUAAAAGUUAAAACGUUCUUCUUCACAAAACUCUAAGUUUUUUCAUGGUAUCAGAGCCAUGGAGGACUCUGACGCUAUUUCUACGCCAUCACUGAGUAUCUCUCAGUGUGUGACGUUAAAACUCACAUCUUCCAACUACUUGCUUUGGAAGACACAGUUCGAAUCCUUUCUUUACAGUCAAUCCUUGCUCGGUUUUCUCAAUGGAGGUUCUCUUCGCCCUGCUCCAACGGUAACGGUUCAAGAAGGAGAUGGAGUCACAGAGCAGCCUAAUCCUGAGUUUCAGAAGUGGAUGCGCAAAGACCAGCUUGUCAUGGCUUGGUUGUUCGGUUCUCUGUCUGAGGAUGCUCUCAGAUCUGUCUACGGUCUCACGUCAGCUCAGGAGGUCUGGUUCUGCCUUGGAAAGAAGUACAAUCGUGUCUCAGCUACAAGAAAACUAGAUCUCCAACGUAAGCUUCAAGGUAUGACUAAAAGCCAAAGAACCAUGACAGAGUAUCUAGGAGAGAUUAAGAGUAUCUGUGACCAGUUAGACUCUAUAGGGUGUAGCAUGACUGAGCAUGAGAUGAUAUAUGGUGCGUUGAGCGGUUUAGGGAAAGAGUAUGAAUCCAUAUGUACGGUUAUUGAGCAUUCUAUGGAUUCGGUUACUGAGAUGACGUUUGAAGAUGCUGUGUUCAAGCUCACUACCUUUGAUGAUAAGCUUCAGGUCUAUAACCAAAGUGCCACAGUUAAUCCUCAUCUUGCCUUUCAUGUUGGAAGGGGUUACUCUAACAACAGAGGCAGAGGAGGUUACACUAACAGAGGGGAUUAUAGAGGUGGUCGAAGCAACAACAACUACUCCACAAGGGGACGUGGCUUUCAACAGCAGUUCUCAAGUGGUAAUGGUCGUGACAAUGUUAGCUCAGGGUCCGGUUCCAACAACAGACCUACCUGCCAAAUCUGUGGGCGGUAUGGUCAUUCAGCUGCGAGAUGCUACAAUCGCUAUGAUCAAGAGUCUCAGUCUUCAGAUAACCUACCCAAUGCGCUCACCACAAUGAGACUUUCUGAUCAAGAACACAGUACCGGUCAAGAAUGGUAUCCAGAUUCUGCUGCGUCUGCCCACAUUACAAGCAACCAGUCUCAGUUAACGUCAGCAGAACCCUAUCUUGGGAAUGAUCAAGUGAUCGUUGGGAAUGGAGAUUACCUGCCAAUCACGCAUGUUGGAUCUGUCGCCUUACACACACAACAAGGUACUCUUCCUCUUGAUGAUGUGUUAGUCUGUCCUGGAAUAACAAAGUCUUUGAUAUCGGUUUCAAAACUCACUUCAGACUAUCCAUGUGAAGUUACAUUUGAUUCUGAAACUGUUUUUGUUAAGGACAAGCAAACAAAACAGGUGAUAACUCAAGGCAGAAGGGAUAAGGAUCUGUAUAUGUUGAAGGAUGCAAGAUAUCAAGCUUUUUAUUCUACAAGACAGAGAGCUACAAGUGUGGAGAUUUGGCAUCAAAGGCUAGGCCAUCCUCACAAGGACAUCCUUCAGCAGUUAGCCAGGAGUAACGCUAUCAGUUUGAAUAAAGGGGGGACAUUGGAGCUCUGUGAAGCGUGUCAGAUUGGCAAGAGUUGCAGGCUUCCUUUUCUUCUUUCAGAAACUUUUUCUAAUAGACCUUUAGAGAAGAUACAUUGUGACUUAUGGGGACCUAGUCCAGUUGUUUCUGCUCAAGGAUUUGGAUUACCCGGAAUAGAGCAAGAUAAGGAAGAACAAGAGGUUUCUUGCGUUAGAAGCAACAAGCGUCAACUACAAAGCGAUAACGAGGAAGAAUCUACACUUCCUACGAAGUAAGUAAAGAUUUGAGUUUCAAUCUAUUGUUUCAAAUUAUCUAUGAAUUGUUGUACUAAUGAUGAUUCUUUGCUAAUUUACAGAACUCAAAUCGUUGGUUGGCCUCCGGUGAGAUCUUACCGUAAAAACAACAACAGUGUGAGCUAUGUGAAAGUGAGUAUGGAUGGAGCUCCAUACCUUAGGAAAAUAGAUCUCAAGACAUACAAAAACUAUCCAGAGCUUCUCAAGGCAUUAGAGAACCUGUUCAAGUUCACGAUCGGUGAAUACAGCGAAAGAGAAGGAUACAAAGGAUCUGGAGUUGUACCAACGUACGAGGAUAAAGAUGGAGAUUGGAUGUUGGUUGGUGAUGUUCCAUGGGAUAUGUUCUCUUCCUCUUGUAAGAGACUCAGGAUCAUGAAAGGAUCUGAUGCUCUUGCUUUGGACUCGGCCUUAUGAUGAUGAUGAUGAUGAUGAUGAAAGCUUUUGAUGGAUGAAACCCUUUUUGAUUUGAUUCUGAUCGGAGUUUGAGUAGUUGACCACACCAAAAACAGAACAUGUCAGGGUUUUGUUCGAUGAGAUAGAUCCAUCUUCAAGGGGUUUUCUUUUUGUUUUGUUUGAUCCUUGUUUUUAGAUUUGCA